This 855-nucleotide ribosomal RNA is filed under the name Clostridioides difficile. RNAcentral describes it as "partial 23S ribosomal RNA". It matches the Rfam family "Bacterial large subunit ribosomal RNA", at positions 1346 to 2210 of the family's 2925-position model. The record is from RNAcentral. Lineage: Bacteria; Bacillati; Bacillota; Clostridia; Peptostreptococcales; Peptostreptococcaceae.
CAAGGUUUCCAGGGGAAGGUUCGUCCGCCCUGGGUUAGUCGGGACCUAAGCUGAGGCCGAAAGGCGUAGGUGAUGGACAACAGGUUGAUAUUCCUGUACUACCGAUAACCGUUUGAGAGAAGGGAUGACACAGUAGGAUAAGCUAAGCACACUGUUGGUUAUGUGUGCCCAAGCAUUGAGGCAGUCAAAGUAGGCAAAUCCGCUUUGAUAAUGCUGGGAUGUGAUGGGGAGCGAAAUUUAGUAGCGAAGUAGCUGAUUUCACACUGUCAAGAAAAGUCUCUAUCGAGGUUAAAGGUACCCGUACCGCAAACCGACACAGGUGGGUGAGGAGAGUAUCCUAAGGCCAGCGAGAGAACUGUUGUUAAGGAACUCGGCAAAAUGACCCCGUAACUUAGGGAUAAGGGGUGCCACCAUCAGGUGGCCGCAGAGAAUAGGCCCAAGCGACUGUUUACCAAAAACAUAGGUUUCUGCUAAGUCGCAAGACGAUGUAUAGGAGCUGACGCCUGCCCGGUGCUGGAAGGUUAAGGGGAUCUGUUAGAGCAAUCGAAGCAGUGAACUUAAGCCCCAGUAAACGGCGGCCGUAACUAUAACGGUCCUAAGGUAGCGAAAUUCCUUGUCGGGUAAGUUCCGACCCGCACGAAAGGCGUAACGAUUUGGGCACUGUCUCAACAACAGACUCGGUGAAAUUGUAAUUCCGGUGAAGAUGCCGGAUACCUGCGACAGGACGGAAAGACCCCAUGGAGCUUUACUGUAGCUUGACAUUGGGUCUUGGUACUACAUGUACAGGAUAGGUGGGAGGCUUUGAAACCAGGACGCCAGUUUUGGCGGAGCCAUCCUUGGGAUACCACCCUUGUA